GUUAGCGGCGGACGGGUGAGUAACACGUGGAUAACCUACCUUUAAGACUGGGGGAACUUCGGGAAAACGGGGCUAAUACCGGAUAAUCUUUUGCACCGCAUGGGUCAAAAGCGAAAGACGGCCUUGCUGUCUCUUUUAGAUGGAUCCCCGCGGCAUUAGCUAGAUGGGAAGGGAACGGCUUACCAAGGCAAAGCUGCAUAGUCGGCCUGGGAGGGGGAUCGGCCCCACCGGAACUGAGACACGGU
RNAcentral lists this ribosomal RNA (245 nucleotides) under Staphylococcus aureus. RNAcentral describes it as "partial 16S ribosomal RNA". It matches the Rfam family "Bacterial small subunit ribosomal RNA", at positions 91 to 330 of the family's 1533-position model. Lineage: Bacteria; Bacillati; Bacillota; Bacilli; Caryophanales; Staphylococcaceae. The record is from RNAcentral.